AGUUAUAUUUAUAUUUUCUCCUGCAGUCUCUUAUUCACCGUAAUGUGGUUUGUUUUGUCAUUGUUUGAGACAGAUAUCCAACUAACUUGGACUACGUUCAGGUCGUUAAAGCAUUGAUUGUGAAGUACCCUUUCUUAAGGGAUGUACACGGGAAUGGUUAUCAUACCUGGCACAGCCAACUCAAGAGAAAAUUCAAAACAGAACGGGCUCCACUAAUCACCAAUGAGGAAGUAAAACGGGUCAAAGAAAAGUUUCGGCAAGCAAGAUCACUGAAGACCCCAGAAGAAUCUCCAUCCACGUGUCCAAAACGACUGAAGCCAUCUCUAGAAUCAUGCAUUGUGGGGGAGGAUGCAACCUCUGUUGAGGCUCAUAUCAAGGUACUGCUUGAGCAAUACAGAAAGUUGCAUCCCGACAUGAAUCUGGUGAAAGACGGCAUAAUGAAAACCUUUGCAUAGACGCCGAGAAAUAGCAGAAGGAAUGUCAAAAGAUCUGUUGAGGCGAUAUCCAUUCCUAAAAACAUCCGCUGGGUUGUGCGAUGAGGUUGAUGCCAUGCACCCCUCUCCAGUCAACAUAUGCCACCGCAUCAGUGAGAACUUCACAUCUAUUCUCCCAAAUAUGCUGAAACUUGUCAAGGAUUCGCCACUGAAAAAACUAUACAUGGAAGCAAGAGAGGAUGCCUUGGCUGAAGAUA
Pungitius pungitius (ninespine stickleback) is the source of this 691-nucleotide long non-coding RNA. RefSeq lists it as uncharacterized. The transcript is spliced from 4 exons. The record is from RefSeq and is a predicted model, not a curated record. NCBI's taxonomy places the organism in Eukaryota, Metazoa, Chordata, Actinopteri, Perciformes, Gasterosteidae.